Molecule: ribosomal RNA, 468 nt
Filed under: uncultured bacterium
Lineage: Bacteria
Description: partial 16S ribosomal RNA
Rfam family: Bacterial small subunit ribosomal RNA
Source: RNAcentral
GACGAACGCUGGCGGCGUGCUUAACACAUGCAAGUCGAACGGAAAGGCCCUGCUUUUGUGGGGUGCUCGAGUGGCGAACGGGUGAGUAACACGUGAGUAACCUGCCCUUGACUUUUGUAUAACUUCAGGAAACUGGGGCUAAUACCGGAUAGGAGCUCCUGCUGCAUGGUGGGGGUUGGAAAGUUUCGGCGGUUGGGGAUGGACUCGCGGCUUAUCAGCUUGUUGGUGGGGUAGUGGCUUACCAAGGCUUUGACGGGUAGCCGGCCUGAGAGGGUGACCGGCCACAUUGGGAAUGAGAUACGGCCCAGACUCCUACGGGAGGCAGCAGUGGGGAAUAUUGCACAAUGGGCGGAAGCCUGAUGCAGCAACGCCGCGUGCGGGAUGACGGCCUUCGGGUUGUAAACCGCUUUCGCCUGUGACGAAGCGUGAGUGACGGUAAUGGGUAAAGAAGCACCGGCUAACUACGUG